GAUGAACGCUGGCGGCGUGCCUAAUACAUGCAAGUCGAGCGAACAGACGAGGAGCUUGCUCCUCUGACGUUAGCGGCGGACGGGUGAGUAACACGUGGAUAACCUACCUAUAAGACUGGGAUAACUUCGGGAAACCGGAGCUAAUACCGGAUAAUAUAUUGAACCGCAUGGUUCAAUAGUGAAAGACGGUUUUGCUGUCACUUAUAGAUGGAUCCGAGCCGCAUUAGCUAGUUGGUAAGGUAACGGCUUACCAAGGCAACGAUGCGUAGCCGACCUGAGAGGGUGAUCGGCCACACUGGAACUGAGACACGGUCCAGACUCCUACGGGAGGCAGCAGUAGGGAAUCUUCCGCAAUGGGCGAAAGCCUUACGGAGCAACGCCGCGUGAGUGAUGAAGGUCUUCGGAUCGUAAAACUCUGUUAUUAGGGAAGAACAAAUGUGUAAGUAACUAUGCACGUCUUGACGGUACCUAAUCAGAAAGCCACGGCUAACUACGUG
This 497-nucleotide ribosomal RNA is filed under the name uncultured bacterium. RNAcentral's name for it is "partial 16S ribosomal RNA". It matches the Rfam family "Bacterial small subunit ribosomal RNA", at positions 28 to 507 of the family's 1533-position model. The record is from RNAcentral.